Molecule: ribosomal RNA, 568 nt
Filed under: Streptomyces sp. XWS-41
Lineage: Bacteria; Bacillati; Actinomycetota; Actinomycetes; Kitasatosporales; Streptomycetaceae
Description: bacterial SSU rRNA
Rfam family: Bacterial small subunit ribosomal RNA
Source: RNAcentral
CCUACGGGAGGCAGCAGUGGGGAAUAUUGCACAAUGGGCGAAAGCCUGAUGCAGCGACGCCGCGUGAGGGAUGACGGCCUUCGGGUUGUAAACCUCUUUCAGCAGGGAAGAAGCGAAAGUGACGGUACCUGCAGAAGAAGCGCCGGCUAACUACGUGCCAGCAGCCGCGGUAAUACGUAGGGCGCAAGCGUUGUCCGGAAUUAUUGGGCGUAAAGAGCUCGUAGGCGGCUUGUCACGUCGGUUGUGAAAGCCCGGGGCUUAACCCCGGGUCUGCAGUCGAUACGGGCAGGCUAGAGUUCGGUAGGGGAGAUCGGAAUUCCUGGUGUAGCGGUGAAAUGCGCAGAUAUCAGGAGGAACACCGGUGGCGAAGGCGGAUCUCUGGGCCGAUACUGACGCUGAGGAGCGAAAGCGUGGGGAGCGAACAGGAUUAGAUACCCUGGUAGUCCACGCCGUAAACGGUGGGCACUAGGUGUGGGCAACAUUCCACGUUGUCCGUGCCGCAGCUAACGCAUUAAGUGCCCCGCCUGGGGAGUACGGCCGCAAGGCUAAAACUCAAAGGAAUUGACGG